This 208-nucleotide unclassified non-coding RNA is filed under the name Hevea brasiliensis (rubber tree). The record is from RNAcentral. Lineage: Eukaryota; Viridiplantae; Streptophyta; Magnoliopsida; Malpighiales; Euphorbiaceae.
CUAUUAAUGGAGAUUAAUUGUAUUCAAAUUAGCAAGAAUUUUGAUGUGGUAAAGGAAAUGAAUUUUGGCAUGAAAUGUUAAAGGAGAAAGAAAUAUAUAUUAAAGGGAGGAGGAAAAAUAAAUGAAGAAAUGGUGGAUUAUAUUAUAUUAUUCUGUGUAGGUUUUGGAAAGAUGUUUUAAAGUUAUUGUGAUAUGUGGUAAAUGGUUG